GUAACCCUGACGGUCCUAAGGUAGCGAAAUUCCUUGUCAAUUAAGUAUUGACCCGCAUGAAUGACGUAACGACUUCCCCACUGUCUCCAGAAUUGAUCCAGUGAAAUUACAAUUUACGUGAAGAUGCGUAAUAUUUACAGCGGGACGGAAAGACCCUAUGCACCUUUACUAUACUUUUAUAUUGAUUAGAAAAUAACUUAAAACGAAGAAUAAUUAUAGUUUAUGAUUUAUAAAUUUUGGUUUAUAAGAAGACAACAGUGAAAUAAUAAUUUUAAGUAUUUUUUCUAUCUAAUUUUUAAGAAAAACAAUAUAUGAGGGUAGUUUGGCUGGGGCGGCAACCUCCUAAAAAGUAACGGAGGUGUACAAAGGCAAUCUCAAUUUAAUAUCUAUUAAAAUUUGAGCGUAAUGGUAUAAGAUUGCUUAACUGUAAGAUUUACAAAUCAAGCAGAGAUUAAAAGUCGGUCAUAGUGAUCCAGUGGUAUUUUAUGGAAAAGCAUUGCUUAACGGAUAAAAGGUACGCUAGGGAU
This 527-nucleotide ribosomal RNA is filed under the name uncultured bacterium. Its description in RNAcentral is "bacterial LSU rRNA". It matches the Rfam family "Bacterial large subunit ribosomal RNA", at positions 1936 to 2475 of the family's 2925-position model. The record is from RNAcentral.